This 465-nucleotide ribosomal RNA is filed under the name uncultured bacterium. Its description in RNAcentral is "bacterial SSU rRNA". It matches the Rfam family "Bacterial small subunit ribosomal RNA", at positions 917 to 1382 of the family's 1533-position model. The record is from RNAcentral.
GGGCCCGCACAAGCGGAGGAACAUGUGGUUUAAUUCGAUGAUACGCGAGGAACCUUACCUGGGCUCGAACGUAGGAGGAAUAUAGGGGAAACCUUAUAGCUAGCAAUAGCCGCCUACGAGGUGCUGCAUGGUUGUCGUCAGCUCGUGCCGUGAGGUGUCGGCUUAAGUGCCAUAACGAGCGCAACCCUUAUUGUUAGUUGCCAGCGGGUUAAGCCGGGGACUCUAACAAAACUGCCAGCGUAAGCUGUGAGGAAGGCGGGGAUGACGUCAAAUCAGCACGGCCCUUACGUCCAGGGCCACACACGUGUUACAAUGGUUGGUACAGAGGGCAGCUACCCCGCGAGGGGAUGCGAAUCUCUAAAGCCAAUCUCAGUUCGGAUUGGAGUCUGCAACUCGACUCCAUGAAGUUGGAUUCGCUAGUAAUCGCGCAUCAGCCACGGCGCGGUGAAUACGUUCCCGGGCCUU